AUCGUAACUCCUACGGGAGGCAGCAGUAGGGAAUCUUCGGCAAUGGGGGCAACCCUGACCGAGCAACGCCGCGUGAGUGAAGAAGGUUUUCGGAUCGUAAAGCUCUGUUGUAAGAGAAGAACGAGUGUGAGAGUGGAAAGUUCACACUGUGACGGUAACUUACCAGAAAGGGACGGCUAACUACGUGCCAGCAGCCGCGGUAAUACGUAGGUCCCGAGCGUUAUCCGGAUUUAUUGGGCGUAAAGCGAGCGCAGGCGGUUAGAUAAGUCUGAAGUUAAAGGCUGUGGCUUAACCAUAGUACGCUUUGGAAACUGUUUAACUUGAGUGCAGAAGAGGAGAGUGGAAUUCCAUGUGUAGCGGUGAAAUGCGUAGAUAUAUGGAGGAACACCGGUGGCGAAAGCGGCUCUCUGGUCUGUAACUGACGCUGAGGCUCGAAAGCGUGGGGAGCAAACAGGAUUAGAAACCCCUGUAGUCCUAGAGC
This 481-nucleotide ribosomal RNA is filed under the name uncultured bacterium. RNAcentral's name for it is "bacterial SSU rRNA". It matches the Rfam family "Bacterial small subunit ribosomal RNA", at positions 329 to 802 of the family's 1533-position model. The record is from RNAcentral.